Molecule: ribosomal RNA, 462 nt
Filed under: uncultured organism
Description: bacterial SSU rRNA
Rfam family: Bacterial small subunit ribosomal RNA
Source: RNAcentral
GACGAACGCUGGCGGCGUGCUUAACACAUGCAAGUCGAGCGAUGAAGCUCCUUCGGGAGCGGAUUAGCGGCGGACGGGUGAGUAACACGUGGGUAACCUGCCUCAUAGAGGGGAAUAGCCUUUCGAAAGGAAGAUUAAUACCGCAUAAGAUUGUAGUGCCGCAUGGCAUAGCAAUUAAAGGAGUAAUCCGCUAUGAGAUGGACCCGCGUCGCAUUAGCUAGUUGGUGAGGUAACGGCUCACCAAGGCGACGAUGCGUAGCCGACCUGAGAGGGUGAUCGGCCACAUUGGGACUGAGACACGGCCCAGACUCCUACGGGAGGCAGCAGUGGGGAAUAUUGCACAAUGGGGGAAACCCUGAUGCAGCAACGCCGCGUGAGUGAUGACGGUCUUCGGAUUGUAAAGCUCUGUCUUCAGGGACGAUAAUGACGGUACCUGAGGAGGAAGCCACGGCUAACUACGUG